UCGUGUUUGGAGUGUUUUAGUUUGUGUCUUUGAGUUCUCAAAGUUUUCGGAGUAUAUUUGGCUGUUUUUUUUCCCCCUGUUGCGAUACACAACAGCGGCAUUUCGAUGGAAAGUAGUAGAGGAAUCUACAAACCCAUCAGGGUGUUGUUUGGCACACCCAUUUAUGAAACAACUGUGGACACUUGUUGGCAUCUUCAGGGCUACAAGACCCAGAUUGCAGUGAUGAGGGAGUUCCUCAGGCUUCAGCAGGAAGAUCAUAUUCCACCUCAGAUCACUGCUGAAGAUAUGAGCAACUUACUGGUGCAGGAG
This is a long non-coding RNA of Archocentrus centrarchus (flier cichlid), 309 nucleotides long. RefSeq lists it as uncharacterized. NCBI's taxonomy places the organism in Eukaryota, Metazoa, Chordata, Actinopteri, Cichliformes, Cichlidae. The record is from RefSeq and is a predicted model, not a curated record. The transcript has 3 exons.